UACGAAGGGGGCUAGCGUUGUUCGGAAUUACUGGGCGUAAAGCGUGCGCAGGCGGCCAUUCAAGUCAGGGGUGAAAGCCCAGAGCUCAACUCUGGAACUGCCUUUGAGACUGUGUGGCUAGAGUGCGGGAGAGGUGAGUGGAAUUCCCAGUGUAGAGGUGAAAUUCGUAGAUAUUGGGAAGAACACCGGUGGCGAAGGCGGCUCACUGGCCCGUUUCUGACGCUCAUGCACGACAGCGUGGGGAUCAAACAGG
This 253-nucleotide ribosomal RNA is filed under the name uncultured bacterium. RNAcentral's name for it is "partial 16S ribosomal RNA". It matches the Rfam family "Bacterial small subunit ribosomal RNA", at positions 524 to 776 of the family's 1533-position model. The record is from RNAcentral.